GAUGGAUGCUGGCGGCGUGCUUAACACAUGCAAGUCGAGCGGUAAGGCCCUUUUAGGGUACACGAGCGGCGGACGGCUGAGUAACGCGUGGGAACAUACCCUAAAGUGAGGAGUAAGCUCCAGAAAUGGAGUCUAAUGCCGCAUAUGAUCUUCGGAUUAAAGGAUUUAUCCGCUUUAGGAGUGGCCUGCGUACGAUUAGCUUGUUGGUGAGGUAAUGGCUUACCAAGGCGACGAUCGUUAGCUGGUCUGAGAGGAUGACCAGCCAGACUGGAACUGAGACACGGUCCAGACUCCUACGGGAGGCAGCAGUGAGGAAUCUUCCACAAUGGGCGAAAGCCUGAUGGAGCAACGCCGCGUGCAGGAUGAAGGCCCUCGGGUCGUAAACUGCUUUUAUGAGUGAAGAAUAUGACGGUAACUCAUGAAUAAGCACCGGCUAACUACGUGCCAGCCGCCGCCGUAA
Molecule: ribosomal RNA, 460 nt
Filed under: uncultured bacterium
Lineage: Bacteria
Description: partial 16S ribosomal RNA
Rfam family: Bacterial small subunit ribosomal RNA
Source: RNAcentral